This 1533-nucleotide ribosomal RNA is filed under the name marine sediment metagenome. Its description in RNAcentral is "bacterial LSU rRNA". It matches the Rfam family "Bacterial large subunit ribosomal RNA", at positions 1454 to 2925 of the family's 2925-position model. The record is from RNAcentral.
UGACAGACAUGGGGACAAUCCGCAGGAAAGACCUGGUACUAGCGUAUCAGGAAUCCUCAGAGACUUUAUGUUUGGGAGUACUUUAUGAAAUUAGAAGCACAGUGGAUUGUUGGCUUUGUUGAUGGUGAAGGCUGUUUUAAUAUCAGCAUUAACAAGAACGACACUAUGACCACAGGAUUUCAGGUGUUACCUGAAUUCACCGUAGUACAACACGAACAGGAUGUUAAGGUGCUGCAUGCACUGAAAGCAUUCUUCAAAUGUGGGGUAGUACGGGUUAACCGUAAAGACAAGACAUCCACCCGGAUGGCUUAUCGGGUCAGAAGUAUUAAACAUCUGCUGGAUAUAAUUUCGCCUUUCUUUCUUGAUCAUCAACUAAAAACACAGAAACACGUGGAAUUCAGAAAAUUCCGCAGGGUGUUACUAAUGAUGGACAAGGGUAAACAUUUGACGAAAGAAGGUGUUGAAGAAAUUCGAGACGUUUGCAAUCAAAUGAACCGAAAAAAGAUGGGGUAGUACUCAAGAGAAAGUCCGACUUUUCUGGAAACAGAUAAGAUUAUUCGAGCGAAAUUCCUUGUCGGGUAAGUUCCGACCUGCACGAAUGGCGUAACGAUGGCCACACUGUCUCCACCAGAGACUCAGUGAAAUUGAAAUCGCUGUUAAGAUGCAGCGUACCCGCGGCAAGACGGAAAGACCCCGUGCACCUUUACUAUAGCUUUACACUGAAUUUUGAAUAUGUUUGUGUAGGAUAGCUGGGAGGCUUUGAAGCGUGAUCGCUAGAUUGCGUGGAGCCAACCUUGAAAUACCAGCCUGAUAUGUUUGGAGUUCUAACCCAGGUCCAUUAUCUGGAUCGGGGACCGUGUAUGGUGGGUAGUUUGACUGGGGCGGUCUCCUCCUAAAGAGUAACGGAGGAGCGCAAUGGUACUCUCAGUACGGUCGGACAUCGUACGUUGCGUGCAAAGGCAUAAGAGUGCUUGACUGCGAGACAGACACGUCGAGCAGGGGCGAAAGCCGGUCUUAGUGAUCCGGUGGUUCUGUAUGGAAGGGCCAUCGCUCAACGAAUAAAAGGUACGCCGGGGAUAACAGGCUGAUUCCUCCCAAGAGUCCACAUCGACGGAGGAGUUUGGCACCUCGAUGUCGGCUCAUCACAUCCUGGGGCUGUAGCAGGUCCCAAGGGUAUGGCUGUUCGCCAUUUAAAGUGGUACGCGAGCUGGGUUUAGAACGUCGUGAGACAGUUCGGUCCCUAUCUGCCGUGGGCGUUGGAAAUUUGAGAAGAGCUGCUCCUAGUACGAGAGGACCGGAGUGGACGUAUCUCUGGUGUUCCGGUUGUCACGCCAGUGGCAUUGCCGGGUAGCUACAUACGGACGGGAUAACCGCUGAAAGCAUCUAAGCGGGAAGCCCCCUUCAAGAUUAGAUUUCCCUGGACCCUUGAGGUCCCUGAAGAGCCCUCGAAGACUACGAGGUUGAUAGGCUGGGUGUGGAAGUUCAGUAAUGGAUGAAGCUAACCAGUACUAAUUGCUCGUGAGGCUUGGCCAU